Molecule: long non-coding RNA, 764 nt
Filed under: Homo sapiens (human)
Lineage: Eukaryota; Metazoa; Chordata; Mammalia; Primates; Hominidae
Description: HSALNT0387459
Source: RNAcentral
AGAGCCUCAGCCCCCUGUUUGCAAGAGCUUGUGAGCUAAAGCGUGCCAGGCCCUGAGUGCGAGGCUGGGAUGAACUGGCAUUCCUGCUGGCUCUGGCCUCUGGGACAGCACCUCCUCCAGCUCACUGCCCUCCACCCUUCCAGCUACAGCUCCCUCCGGUGCCCCAGAACCGCCCGGCACUCCGGGGCUCCCAGGUUCAUCUGGGCAUGACUCCGCCCUCCCGACAGAGCCCUCUGCACACCCCCUCCCCACCCUGGCCCAUCGCAGCUCUUCACGAAGACGCUUCAUGGAAUGGGUGAUUUUCCUAAGCACUUUUCUUUCCAUGAUCUCAUUUGGUCCUCACAGCACCUGGAGGAGGGCAGACAGGCUGUUGCUCCAUUUUACAGAUUUUCCAGACCAGGCUUUCUGAGAGGCUGUUAAUGAGCCAAACCAUUCUGCUAACCGUCGUUUUCAGAAGGGCCACCCGGCUCACGGUUCUCUUUAUUCAGGCAAAGCCAUCAAGACCCCGGACCCGGACCUCUCUGGAUCUGCAUCCUCCCCCUAGUAAAAUGGGAGACACACCGCUAUCCAGACAACUGGGAUUCCUGGACCAGACUUUUCUUUUGAGCUCCUGGCAGCCUCCAGUCAGCUUUCUGUCUCUAUGGACUGGCCUGUCCUAGACAUUCCUUAUCAAUGGAGUCACACAGUAUGUGGUCAUUUCGUCUGGCUUCUUUCACUUAGCACCAUGGCAUCAGGGUUCAUCCACAUUGUAUAACCUGGAUCGG